CUUCAGCACCUGGACUCUCCAGGUCACUUUGCCAGGAUCCUCUUUGUGGACUUCAGCUUCGAUUUCAAUACCAUUCAAAAGCGUGUUUUUUGGAGACCCAAUCUCAAUGUCCACCCUCAAGCACUCACUGACUUUGAGGCUCGUUCCAGUUAAGUCUGUGAGGGCUUAGGGCUGUCCCACUGCCAAAUCUUCAAUUGUGUGAGGGAUCUCUCACAGACUUUUUGAGCCCUGAAUGCCCCUUCACAUCAGACAUGGACACACCUGAAUUCUUCUUCCAGUAGCAGAGAGUUCAUCAGCUCCUACAGAUGUUCCUGUAAUAAAUGUCCCUCUAUCAUUACAGAUGUGAAUCACUGAAUCUACAGCUGCUGAGACCAGGAACUGAAUCAGAUGAUGCUGAGUGUGGAGAACCAAGUCCAGAGAAGACACGAGUGAUCAUCAGUGUUGUUGUUGGUGGUUGUGUUGUUUUUUUUUAGCUGCUUUGUCUGCGUUUGUAGUGCAGCGUUACAGAGAGAAGAUAAACAUAUGUCUAAUCAGAGGAAAAAGAAGCAAAUCAGAAAACGGACACAUGGAACAAGAGAAUUUAAACAACGGACGACCUGUAGAGGUGAAGCGGGACUGAACAGAGGAUCAGGUGUGACGGAUCAUACCUAAACAUGCAGAUUGUUUCCUGUACACUACCGAGUAUGAUCUCUUUGUCAAUGGAUAUGAAACGCUGUAAAUAUGG
Notolabrus celidotus (New Zealand spotty) is the source of this 724-nucleotide long non-coding RNA. RefSeq lists it as uncharacterized. The transcript has 4 exons. Lineage: Eukaryota; Metazoa; Chordata; Actinopteri; Labriformes; Labridae. The record is from RefSeq and is a predicted model, not a curated record.